GUGGGUGUCAGUUGUGGUGAUGUUGGCUGGUUGGGCUGGUCCAUCCUCUGACCCUGGGGGUGGGGUAGUCAGGUGCCAGCAGUGCUGGACUAGACGAGAUGAUUCCCCUAUUCUCAGGCCCCUACGUGGCCCACUGAAUGGCAUGUAUGAGUCUGAAAGCGGUUGGACCACGACUGUCAGUCAGCCCAGAUUUCAGGUGCUGGCUGUGAUUGAGGAUGGCAGUCUGGUGCCUAGGUCACUGGCAGAACUCUCAGAAAGGGGCAGGGAGAUGACAGGCCUAUGGGGACUGGGUUGCAGUUGAAAUGGUCUGGCCGGAGCAGAGUGGCUGUACUGUCAGACUUUCACUGGGGAGGGCAGAACCCCUCUUCUGAGGCAAUAAAGACUGGCAGCUGUGGAGCAUGUGGCCUGCUAGCACUUUUCUCCACAGAAGCAGUUCUGGAUUUCACUGUUGGGGCCUAUGAAGGUGCCUGCUGUCCUGGCCCGUGGGCAGCAGAGGCAGAGGCAGCAGUGGCAGAGGGUGUGGAGGGCCUAUCUGUGGCCUCUGGGAGUUGGCAGCUUCUGGGAGUCCACCCACAGCCACAGCAUUCAGGUUUAGAAUUGACAAUUACUUUUAAGGCUGAUAUAGUGGUAACAAAUUUCCUCAGAGAUUCCUUGUUUGGGAAAGGCUUUGCAGAUAACAUUUUGAUGGCAUCUACCUUUCUUCAGGAACACAGGUAUGACAUUACAGUAAUGACAUCCUUUUUCAAGGAGAUUCAUCUGAUACACUCAAUAAGUACAUGUAAGUCCAAUGCCUUUUUUUUUUUUUUUGCUUAUAAAUUAAAAUUAGCCAUCACUCCUGUUAGUGCUUUCAAAAAACUUGUUCACAGCUACCUUUUUCCUCCUGGACCACUCAUGACUGCCAUCAGUUGCUUCAGGGCUUCUCAUGCAAGAAAUUCUCAUGCUAUGCACCACUAAAAUAACAUAUGGCUGGCUACCUACUGGACUGUCCUAGAAAUAAAGGUUCUCACUGGGAGUGGUGGCUCACACCUGUAAUUCCAGCAUUUUGGGAGGAUGAAGCAGACAGAUCACCUGAGGUCAGGAGUUCAAGACCAGCCUGGCCAUCAUGGUGAAACCCCAUCUAUACUAAAAAUAUAAAAACCAGCCAGGUGUGGUGGUGCAUGCCUGUAGUCCUAGCUACUUGGGCGGCUGAGGCACAAGAAUGUCUUGAACCCAGGAGGCAGAGGUUGCAAUGAGCCAAGAUUGAGCCACCGGACUCCAGCCUGGGUGACAAAGCAAGACUGUCUCAAAAUUAGAAGAAAAAAAAAAAGGAUAAAAAGAGGCUCUUAUAGACCCUGAGCUGUGACCCUGUGACCGUCCAUAUCCAGCUGUCCAUUAUCCUUUGGGUCAGAGAGUGAGCACCUCGCAAGCCCGGCUUGGCUACUGAGGCCUAUUUGAGACAGAAUUGAGCCAAACCUGGGCCUUCUGGUAUAUUCUACCUGCAGAAGGAGGUGGUUUCUCCUGUCCUUUAUACCUUGACAAAUUCCAGGGUGCUGAAGGAGGUUAUUUCUCUCCCAGACUUCUGGAGUACCUAGGAAGCCCCUUGAGAUUAACUGAGUGAACAGCAAUAGGAGCUCAGACUCUGCAAAAAGCACUGCUAACUACCACACAUGACACAGCUUAAUGGAAUGUUAUUCUUUCUAUCCCUUAGCCUGGAUGUCCCUAAUGAAGGACCAGGCCUAAGGAACAACACGCUUGGCCAAACCUCAAGCAGUCAACUUAGGACUACAUGCCCUAUUCAACAAAUGAUCUCAUUUUCAUAUUUAUUAUAAACUAUUAGGCAAUUACCUAAAAAUUGGCCAUUUCAAGGUUGAACUCUGGGCAUCUCUUGCUGCACCUCAAAGUAUAAUUCCAAAUCACCCAUCUCCA
Long non-coding RNA from Callithrix jacchus (white-tufted-ear marmoset), 1905 nucleotides. The record is from Ensembl. NCBI's taxonomy places the organism in Eukaryota, Metazoa, Chordata, Mammalia, Primates, Cebidae.